RNAcentral lists this small nuclear RNA (286 nucleotides) under Erinaceus europaeus (western European hedgehog). Its description in RNAcentral is "7SK RNA". It matches the Rfam family "7SK RNA". Rfam says of the family: 7SK was discovered as an abundant small nuclear RNA in the mid-70s but a possible function has only recently been suggested. Two independent studies have found that 7SK RNA binds the CDK9/cyclin T complex (known as elongation factor P-TEFb). Lineage: Eukaryota; Metazoa; Chordata; Mammalia; Eulipotyphla; Erinaceidae. The record is from Rfam by way of RNAcentral.
GGAUGUGAGGGCCAUAUGGCUGCAUUAUCUGUCACUCUGUUGAUUGUCAAGGUAAAUUGGGCUUAUCAGGUUGGCUAGGUGGGUGUCCCCUUCCUUUUUCACUGCUCCAUGUGCGGCCCUCUCAAAGCAGCAUGCUCAAAGAGGACAGCCUUCCCCGAGGGUAUACAAGUAGCUUCACUCCACUGCUAGAACCUCCAAACUCUGAUGAGUCCAAGAGAACAUGGUGUUUUUAUAUAAAAUUGUAUUGCUAGUUUACAGUGGGAUUUUGAUGAAUUUUUCAUUCAAU